RNAcentral lists this transfer RNA (71 nucleotides) under Amphibolurus norrisi. RNAcentral's name for it is "tRNA-Asx". Lineage: Eukaryota; Metazoa; Chordata; Lepidosauria; Squamata; Agamidae. The record is from RNAcentral.
GGAGUUGAUGCUUGUUGGUUGGCGUGUUAGCUGUUAACUAAUUUUUGUGGGAUCGAGGCCCUCCGACUCCU